UAAAGCGUGCGCAGGCGGUUUUGUAAGUCUGUCGUGAAAUCCCCGGGCUCAACCUGGGAAUGGCGAUGGAGACUGCAAGGCUAGAGUUUGGCAGAGGGGGGUAGAAUUCCACGUGUAGCAGUGAAAUGCGUAGAGAUGUGGAGGAACACCGAUGGCGAAGGCAGCCCCCUGGGUCAAAACUGACGCUCAUGCACGAAAGCGUGGGGAGCAAACAGGAUUAGAUACCCUGU
This 230-nucleotide ribosomal RNA is filed under the name uncultured bacterium. RNAcentral describes it as "partial 16S ribosomal RNA". It matches the Rfam family "Bacterial small subunit ribosomal RNA", at positions 561 to 790 of the family's 1533-position model. The record is from RNAcentral.